Molecule: ribosomal RNA, 441 nt
Filed under: uncultured bacterium
Lineage: Bacteria
Description: partial 16S ribosomal RNA
Rfam family: Bacterial small subunit ribosomal RNA
Source: RNAcentral
CUACGGGUCGCUGCAGUGAGGAAUAUUGCACAAUGGGGGGAACCCUGAUGCAGCAACGCCGCGUGGAGGAUGACGCAUUUCGGUGUGUAAACUCCUUUUAUAUGUCAAGAAAAUGACGGUAGCAUAUGAAUAAGCACCGGCUAACUCCGUGCGCAGGCAGCCGCGGUAAUACGGAGGGUGCAAGCGUUACUCGGAAUCACUGGGCGUAAAGGGCGCGUAGGCGGGUUGGAAAGUCAGGUGUGAAAUCCUACAGCUUAACUGUAGAAGUGCACUUGAAACUUCUAAUCUAGAGUAUGGGAGGGGGAGAUGGAAUUAGUGGUGUGGGGGUAAAAUCCGUAGAUAUCACUAGGAAUACCUAAAGCGAGGGCGAUCUCCUGGAACAUUACUGACGCUAAGGCGUGAAAGCGUGGGGAGCAAACAGGAUUAGAUACCCGUGUAGUC